UGGGGAAUUUUGCACAAUGGGCGAAAGCCUGAUGCAGCGACGCCGCGUGAGGGAUGACGGCUUUCGGGUUGUAAACCUCUUUUAUCCACCACGAAGGCCAGGUAUUCGCUUGGUUGACGGUAGUGGUUGAAUAAGCGCCGGCUAACUACGUGCCAGCAGCCGCGGUAAGACGUAGGGCGCGAGCGUUGUCCGGAUUGAUUGGGCGUAAAGGGCUCGUAGGCGGCUCGUCGCGUCUGCCGUGAAAGACCACAGCUUAACUGUGGUUUUGCGGUGGAUACGGGCGGGCUUGAGGCCAGUAGGGGAGAUCGGAAUUCUACGUGUAGCGGUGAAAUGCGCAGAUAUGUGGAGGAACACCGGUGGCGAAGGCGGAUCUCUGGGCUGGUUCUGACGCUGAGGAGCGAAAGCAUGGGGAGCGAACAGG
This 421-nucleotide ribosomal RNA is filed under the name uncultured prokaryote. Its description in RNAcentral is "bacterial SSU rRNA". It matches the Rfam family "Bacterial small subunit ribosomal RNA", at positions 355 to 776 of the family's 1533-position model. RNAcentral also lists the same sequence under 1 other name. The record is from RNAcentral.